GCGAACGGGUGAGUAACACGUGAGCAACCUGCCCCUGACUCUGGGAUAAGCGCUGGAAACGGCGUCUAAUACUGGAUAUGUGACGUGACCGCAUGGUCUGCGUUUGGAAAGAUUUUUCGGUUGGGGAUGGGCUCGCGGCCUAUCAGCUUGUUGGUGAGGUAAUGGCUCACCAAGGCGUCGACGGGUAGCCGGCCUGAGAGGGUGACCGGCCACACUGGGACUGAGACACGGCCCAGACUCCUACGGGAGGCAGCAGUGGGGAAUAUUGCACAAUGGGCGAAAGCCUGAUGCAGCAACGCCGCGUGAGGGAUGACGGCCUUCGGGUUGUAAACCUCUUUUAGCAGGGAAGAAGCGAAAGUGACGGUACCUGCAGAAAAAGCGCCGGCUAACUACGUGCCAGCAGCCGCGGUAAUACGUAGGGCGCAAGCGUUAUCCGGAAUUAUUGGGCGUAAAGAGCUCGUAGGCGGUUUGUCGCGUCUGCUGUGAAAUCCCGAGGCUCAACCUCGGGCCUGCAGUGGGUACGGGCAGACUAGAGUGCGGUAGGGGAGAUUGGAAUUCCUGGUGUAGCGGUGGAAUGCGCAGAUAUCAGGAGGAACACCGAUGGCGAAGGCAGAUCUCUGGGCCGUAACUGACGCUGAGG
This 640-nucleotide ribosomal RNA is filed under the name Microbacterium paraoxydans. RNAcentral describes it as "bacterial SSU rRNA". It matches the Rfam family "Bacterial small subunit ribosomal RNA", at positions 98 to 751 of the family's 1533-position model. The record is from RNAcentral. Lineage: Bacteria; Bacillati; Actinomycetota; Actinomycetes; Micrococcales; Microbacteriaceae.